This 483-nucleotide ribosomal RNA is filed under the name uncultured bacterium. RNAcentral's name for it is "bacterial SSU rRNA". It matches the Rfam family "Bacterial small subunit ribosomal RNA", at positions 501 to 987 of the family's 1533-position model. The record is from RNAcentral.
CUACGUGCCAGCAGCCGCGGUAAUACGGAAGGUCCGGGCGUUAUCCGGAUUUAUUGGGUUUAAAGGGAGCGUAGGCUGGAGAUUAAGUGUGUUGUGAAAUGUAGACGCUCAACGUCUGACUUGCAGCGCAUACUGGUUUCCUUGAGUACGCACAACGUUGGCGGAAUUCGUCGUGUAGCGGUGAAAUGCUUAGAUAUGACGAAGAACUCCGAUUGCGAAGGCAGCUGACGGGAGCGCAACUGACGCUGAAGCUCGAAGGUGCGGGUAUCGAACAGGAUUAGAUACCCUGGUAGUCCGCACAGUAAACGAUGGAUGCCCGCUGUUGGUACCUGGUAUCAGCGGCUAAGCGAAAGCAUUAAGCAUCCCACCUGGGGAGUACGCCGGCAACGGUGAAACUCAAAGGAAUUGACGGGGGCCCGCACAAGCGGAGGAACAUGUGGUUUAAUUCGAUGAUACGCGAAGAACCUUACCAGGCCUUGACAU